GUACGGGAGGCAGCAGUGAGGAAUAUUGGUCAAUGGGCGCGAGCCUGAACCAGCCAUCCCGCGUGCAGGAAGAAUGCCCUAUGGGUUGUAAACUGCUUUUGCGCAUGAAGAACGAUGCCCUCGUGAGGGUAUGUGACGGUAAUGCGUGAAUAAGCACCGGCUAACUCCGUGCCAGCAGCCGCGGUAAUACGGAGGGUGCAAGCGUUAUCCGGAUUUAUUGGGUUUAAAGGGUGCGUAGGCGGUACUUUAAGUCAGUAGAGUGAAAUCCUGCAGCUCAACUGUAGAAUUGCCAUUGAAACUGAAGUACUUGAGUUAUCUUGAGGUAGGCGGAAUGUGUAGUGUAGCGGUGAAAUGCUUAGAUAUUACACAGAACACCCAUUGCGAAGGCAGCUUACUAAGGAUAAACUGACGCUGAGGCACGAAAGCGUGGGGAUCGAACAGGAUUAGAUACCCUGGUAGA
This 460-nucleotide ribosomal RNA is filed under the name uncultured bacterium. RNAcentral's name for it is "bacterial SSU rRNA". It matches the Rfam family "Bacterial small subunit ribosomal RNA", at positions 339 to 794 of the family's 1533-position model. The record is from RNAcentral.